UACGUAGGGGGCGAGCGUUGUCCGGAUUUAUUGGGCGUAAAGCGCGCGCAGGCGGUUCGUUAAGUCCGAUGUGAAAGCUCCCGGCUCAACUGGGAGAGGUCUUCGGAUACUGGCGAACUCGAGGGAGGCAGAGGAAGGUGGAAUUCCGGGUGUAGUGGUGAAAUGCGUAGAGAUCCGGAGGAACACCAGUGGCGAAGGCGGCCUUCUGGGCCUUUCCUGACGCUGAGGCGCGAAAGCGUGGGGAGCGAACCGG
Molecule: ribosomal RNA, 253 nt
Filed under: uncultured bacterium
Lineage: Bacteria
Description: partial 16S ribosomal RNA
Rfam family: Bacterial small subunit ribosomal RNA
Source: RNAcentral